Vicia faba (fava bean) is the source of this 273-nucleotide non-coding RNA. The record is from the annotation of a GenBank genome assembly. Lineage: Eukaryota; Viridiplantae; Streptophyta; Magnoliopsida; Fabales; Fabaceae.
AUGCGACAAUCGCAGAAAAUAGAUAUAUUUCCAAGCUUGUCUGCACCAACCUUGUUGUCAGAAUCUAUGUGGUAUGAUGUCGUAAACCAUCUCGCAAUAAUCAGUGAAUAUGUAAAUUUGGUUUUAAUCUCGUCUAUACUUGUGGUAAUAAUAAAUAAAACACUGGAGAAAAUACACAAAACACAAUUAGAUGAAGAUCUUUCAAACCAAAAAGAGAUUCAUACGCAUAAGUGGAAACAAUCUAUGCCCUCCUUCAGUUAUGAAAAUAGUUGA